UAGCCGUAAACGAUGGAGACUAAGUGCUGUCAAAAAACAGUGCUGUAGCUAACGCGUUAAGUCUCCCGCCUGGGGAGUAUGCUGGCAACAGUGAAACUCAAAGGAAUUGACGGGGGCCAGCACAAGAGGUGGAUUAUGUGGUUUAAUUUGAUGCUACGCGGAGAACCUUACCAGGGAUUGAACUGCCAAGAAAGAUCCAGAGAUGGGUCUGUGCCCGAAAGGGAACUUGGACAGAGGUGGUGCACGGCUGUCGUCAGCUCGUGAUGCGAAUUGUCAGGUUAAGUCCUUGAACGAGCGUAACCCUUGUUUUCAGUUGCCCGAAAGGGAACUCUGGAAAAACUGCCGAUGUAAAUCGGAGGAAGGAGAGGAUGACGUCAAGUCAGCAUGCCCCUUAUAUCCUGGGCUACACACGUAAUACAAUGGUCGAGACAGCGAGACGCUACCCCGUAAGGGCACGCUAAUCUCUCAAACUCGGCCUCAAUUCGAAUUGUGUUCUGCAACUCGAACACAUGAAGCCGGAAUCUCUAGUAAUCGCCAAUCAGCUAUGUGGCGGUGAAUACGUUCCCUGGCCUUGUACACACCGCCCGUCAAAUGGAGGGAGUGAGCUUCGCUCGAAGCCGUUCAGACUAACCCACAAGGAUGUCAACGUCUACAGCGCGGCUUGUGACUUCUAUUAAGUCGUAACAAGGUAACC
RNAcentral lists this ribosomal RNA (694 nucleotides) under uncultured bacterium. RNAcentral's name for it is "bacterial SSU rRNA". It matches the Rfam family "Bacterial small subunit ribosomal RNA", at positions 797 to 1501 of the family's 1533-position model. The record is from RNAcentral.